This 490-nucleotide ribosomal RNA is filed under the name uncultured bacterium. RNAcentral's name for it is "partial 16S ribosomal RNA". It matches the Rfam family "Bacterial small subunit ribosomal RNA", at positions 30 to 507 of the family's 1533-position model. The record is from RNAcentral.
AUUGAACGCUGGCGGCAUGCUUUACACAUGCAAGUCGGACGGCAGCACAGAGAAGCUUGCUUCUUGGGUGGCGAGUGGCGAACGGGUGAGUAAUAUAUCGCAACGUACCGAGUAAUGGGGGAUAACUAAUCGAAAGAUUAGCUAAUACCGCAUAUUCUCUGAGGAGGAAAGCAGGGGACCUUCGGGCCUUGCGUUAUUCGAGCGGCCGAUAUCUGAUUAGCUAGUUGGUGGGGUAAAGGGCUACCAAGGCGACGAUCAGUAGCGGGUCUGAGAGGAUGGUACGCCGCACUGGGACUGAGACGCGGCCCAGACUCCUGCGGGAGGCAGCAGUGUGGAAUGUUGGGCAAUGGGCGCAAGCCUGAUCCAGCCAUGCCGAGUGUCUGAAGAAGGCCUUCGGGUUGUAAAGAACGUUUGUCAGGGAAGAAAAGGCUGUUGCUAAUACCGACAGCUGAUGACGGUACCUGAAGAAUAAGCACCGGCUAACUACGUG